RNAcentral lists this ribosomal RNA (253 nucleotides) under uncultured bacterium. RNAcentral describes it as "partial 16S ribosomal RNA". It matches the Rfam family "Bacterial small subunit ribosomal RNA", at positions 524 to 776 of the family's 1533-position model. The record is from RNAcentral.
UACGAGGGGUGCAAGCGUUAUUCGGAAUGACUGGGCGUAAAGGGUGCGUAGACGGUAUGUUAAGUCUGUUGUUAAAUUCUUCGGCCUAACCGAAGUCAUGCAAUGGAAACUGGUAUGCUAGAGGGUGAAAGAGAGAAGUGGAAUUCUCGGAGUAGCGGUAAAAUGCGUAGAUCUCGAGAGGAACACCAAUGGCGAAAGCAGCUUCUUGGUUCACUCCUGACGUUGAGGCACGAAAGCGUGGGGAGCAAACAGG